RNAcentral lists this ribosomal RNA (117 nucleotides) under candidate division WS5 bacterium. The record is from RNAcentral.
UCUGGUGGCUUUUGCGGAAGGGUCACACCUGUUCCCAUACCGAACACAGAAGUUAAGCCUUCAAGCGGCGAUGAUACUUGGGUCAUCAAGCCCUGGGAAAGUAGCACGUCGCCAGAA